GAUGAACGCUGGCGGCGUGCCUAAUACAUGCAAGUUGAGCGAACGGACGAGAAGCUUGCUUCUCUGAUGUUAGCGGCGGACGGGUGAGUAACACGUGGAUAACCUACCUAUAAGACUGGGAUAACUUCGGGAAACCGGAGCUAAUACCGGAUAAUAUUUUGAACCGCAUGGUUCAAAAGUGAAAGACGGUCUUGCUGUCACUUAUAGAUGGAUCCGCGCUGCAUUAGCUAGUUGGUAAGGUAGCGGCUUACCAAGGCAACGAUGCAUAGCCGACCUGAGAGGGUGAUCGGCCACACUGGAACUGAGACACGGUCCAGACUCCUACGGGAGGCAGCAGUAGGGAAUCUUCCGCAAUGGGCGAAAGCCUGACGGAGCAACGCCGCGUGAGUGAUGAAGGUCUUCGGAUCGUAAAACUCUGUUAUUAGGGAAGAACAUAUGUGUAAGUAACUGUGCACAUCUUGACGGUACCUAAUCAGAAAGCCACGGCUAACUACGUG
Molecule: ribosomal RNA, 497 nt
Filed under: uncultured bacterium
Lineage: Bacteria
Description: partial 16S ribosomal RNA
Rfam family: Bacterial small subunit ribosomal RNA
Source: RNAcentral